RNAcentral lists this ribosomal RNA (779 nucleotides) under uncultured Lactobacillus sp. RNAcentral describes it as "bacterial SSU rRNA". It matches the Rfam family "Bacterial small subunit ribosomal RNA", at positions 28 to 776 of the family's 1533-position model. The record is from RNAcentral. Lineage: Bacteria; Bacillati; Bacillota; Bacilli; Lactobacillales; Lactobacillaceae.
GACGAACGCUGGCGGCGUGCCUAAUACAUGCAAGUCGAACGAAACUUUCUUACACCGAAUGCUUGCGUUCACCGUAAGAAGUUGAGUGGCGGACGGGUGAGUAACACGUGGGUAACCUGCCUAAAAGAAGGGGAUAACACUUGGAAACAGGUGCUAAUACCGUAUAUCUCUAAGGAUCGCAUGAUCCUUAGAUGAAAGAUGGUUCUGCUAUCGCUUUUAGAUGGACCCGCGGCGUAUUAACUAGUUGGUGGGGUAACGGCCUACCAAGGUGAUGAUACGUAACCGAACUGAGAGGUUGAUCGGCCACAUUGGGACUGAGACACGGCCCAAACUCCUACGGGAGGCAGCAGUAGGGAAUCUUCCACAAUGGACGCAAGUCUGAUGGAGCAACGCCGCGUGAGUGAAGAAGGUCUUCGGAUCGUAAAACCCUGUUGUUAGAGAAGAACACGAGUGAGAGUAACUGUUCAUUCGAUGACGGUAUCUAACCAGCAAGUCACGGCUAACUACGUGCCAGCAGCCGCGGUAAUACGUAGGUGGCAAGCGUUGUCCGGAUUUAUUGGGCGUAAAGGGAACGCAGGCGGUCUUUUAAGUCUGAUGUGAAAGCCUUCGGCUUAACCGGAGUAGUGCAUUGGAAACUGGAAGACUUGAGUGCAGAAGAGGAGAGUGGAACUCCAUGUGUAGCGGUGAAAUGCGUAGAUAUAUGGAAGAACACCAGUGGCGAAAGCGGCUCUCUGGUCUGUAACUGACGCUGAGGUUCGAAAGCGUGGGUAGCAAACAGG